AGAGUUUGAUCCUGGCUCAGACUGAACGCUGGCGGCAUGGCUAAAGCAUGCAAGUCGAACGAGCCCGCAAGGGCGAGUGGCGGACGGGUUAGUAAUACGAUCGAACGUACCCCGAAGUGGGGGAUAGCGGCGGGAAACUGCCGGUAAUACCCCAUGUGCUCUUCGGAGGAAAGAUUUAUCGCUUUGGGAUCGGCGAUCGUCCUAUCAGCUAGUUGGCGGGGUAAAGGCCCACCAAGGCGAAGACGGGUAGCAGGUGUGAGAGCACGACCUGCAACAUCGGAACUGAGAUACUGUCCGGACUCCUACGGGAGGCUGCAGCAACGAAUCUUCCGCAAUGGGCGCAAGCCUGACGGAGCAAUGCCGCGUGUGGGAUGAAGUGCCUCCGGCAUGUAAACCACUGUCAGAAGAUAGAAACACUGAUCAUCUUCAAAGGAAGUGGCGACUAACUCUGUGCCAGCAGUCGCGGUAAUACAGAGGCCACGAGCGUUAGUCGGAAUUACUGGGCUUAAAGGGUGCGUAGGCGGUUAUUCAAGCGUCCUGUGAAAGCCUCCCGCUCAACGGGAGAACAGCAGGGCGAACUGGGUGACUCGAGGUUGGUAGGGGCUCACAGAACAGUCGGUGGACCGGUGAAAUGGGUAGAGAUCGACUGGAAUGCCGAUGGCGAAGGCGGUGAGCUGGGCCAAAUCUGACGCUGAGGCACGAAAGCGUGGGGAGCAAACAGGAUUAGAUACCCCGGUAGUCC
This 742-nucleotide ribosomal RNA is filed under the name uncultured bacterium. RNAcentral describes it as "bacterial SSU rRNA". It matches the Rfam family "Bacterial small subunit ribosomal RNA", at positions 8 to 796 of the family's 1533-position model. The record is from RNAcentral.